Molecule: RNA transcript, 807 nt
Organism: Lemur catta (Ring-tailed lemur)
Lineage: Eukaryota; Metazoa; Chordata; Mammalia; Primates; Lemuridae
Gene name: 40S ribosomal protein SA-like
Exons: 1
Source: RefSeq, a predicted model, not a curated record
AUGUGCAGAGCCCUUGAUGUCCUUCAUUAUGAAGGAGGAGGAUGAUUUCAAAUUCCUUGCAACAGAAACCCACUUAGGUGGCACCAACCUUGACUUCCAAAUGGAACAGUACAUCUGCAAAAAGAAAAGUGAUGGCAUCUACAUCAUAAAUCUGCAGAGGACCUGGGAGAAGCUUCUGCUGGCAGCUCAUGCCUUUGUUGCCAUCACAUUCUCCAGGAACACUGACCAGCAGGCUGUGCUGAAGUUUGCUGCUGCCACUGGAGCCCCUCCUAUUGCCGGUCACUUCACUCCAGAACCUUCACUAACCAGAUCCAGGCAGCAUUCCAGGAGCCAUGUCUUCUGGUGGUUACUGAUCCCAGGGCUGACCGCCAGCCUCUCACAGAGGCGUCUUAUGUUAACCAGGCUACUGCUGCUCUGUGUAACACAGAUUCUCCUCUGCGCUACGUGGACGCCGCCAUCCCAUGCAACAACAAGGGAGCUCCCUCAGUGGGUCUGAUGUGGUGGAUGCUGGCUCGGGAAGUUCUGCACAUGAGUGGCACCAUCUCUCGUGAACACCCUUGGGAAGUCACACCUGAUCUCUGCUUCCACAGAGAUCCUGAAGAUAUUGAAAAGGAAGAGCAGGCUGCCGCUGAAAAGGCUGUGACCAAGGAGGGAUUUCAGGAUGAAUGGACUGCUCCUGCUGCUGCGGUUACCACUACUUAGCCUGAGGUUGCAGACCGGUCUGAAGGCGUGCAGGUGCCCUCCGUGCCUGUUCUGCAGUUCCCCACUGAGGACUGGAGCGCUCAGCCUGCCACGCAAGACUGGUCU